GACGAACGCUGGCGGCGUGCCUAAUACAUGCAAGUUGAGCGAUGAAGAUUGGUGCUUGCACCAAUUUGAAGAGCAGCGAACGGGUGAGUAACGCGUGGGGAAUCUGCCUUUGAGCGGGGGACAACAUUUGGAAACGAAUGCUAAUACCGCAUAACAACUUUAAACAUAAGUUUUAAGUUUGAAAGAUGCAAUUGCAUCACUCAAAGAUGAUCCCGCGUUGUAUUAGCUAGUUGGUGAGGUAAAGGCUCACCAAGGCGAUGAUACAUAGCCGACCUGAGAGGGUGAUCGGCCACAUUGGGACUGAGACACGGCCCAACCUCCUACGGGAGGCAGCAGUAGGGAAUCUUCGGCAAUGGACGAAAGUCUGACCGAGCAACGCCGCGUGAGUGAAGAAGGUUUUCGGAUCGUAAAACUCUGUUGGUAGAGAAGAACGUUGGUGAGAGUGGAAAGCUCAUCAAGUGACGGUAACUACCCAGAAAGGGACGGCUAACUACGUG
RNAcentral lists this ribosomal RNA (497 nucleotides) under uncultured bacterium. RNAcentral's name for it is "partial 16S ribosomal RNA". It matches the Rfam family "Bacterial small subunit ribosomal RNA", at positions 28 to 507 of the family's 1533-position model. The record is from RNAcentral.